UGCCAAAGCCCUGGAGAGGUGCCAAGCAGU
This 30-nucleotide non-coding RNA is filed under the name Rattus norvegicus (Norway rat). The record is from RNAcentral. Lineage: Eukaryota; Metazoa; Chordata; Mammalia; Rodentia; Muridae.